UACGUAGGGUGCAAGCGUUGUCCGGAAUUAUUGGGCGUAAAGAGCUCGUAGGCGGUCUGUCGCGUCGGCUGUGAAAACUCGGGGCUCAACCCCGAGCCUGCAGUCGAUACGGGCAGACUAGAGUGCUGUAGGGGAGACUGGAAUUCCUGGUGUAGCGGUGAAAUGCGCAGAUAUCAGGAGGAACACCAGCGGCGAAGGCGGCGCUCUGGGCCGGAACUGACGCUGAGGAGCGAAAGCGUGGGUAGCAAACAGG
Molecule: ribosomal RNA, 253 nt
Filed under: uncultured bacterium
Lineage: Bacteria
Description: partial 16S ribosomal RNA
Rfam family: Bacterial small subunit ribosomal RNA
Source: RNAcentral